RNAcentral lists this ribosomal RNA (367 nucleotides) under uncultured organism. Its description in RNAcentral is "bacterial SSU rRNA". It matches the Rfam family "Bacterial small subunit ribosomal RNA", at positions 526 to 896 of the family's 1533-position model. The record is from RNAcentral.
CGAAGGUCCCAAGCGUUAUCCGGAUUUAUUGGGUUUAAAGGGUGCGUAGGCGGGUUAUUAAGUCAGUGGUGAAAGCUCCAUGCCUAACAUGGAAAUUGCCAUUGAUACUGAUGAUCUUGAGUACAUUUGAAGAGGGCGGAAUGUGUCAUGUAGUGGUGAAAUACUUAGAUAUGACACAGAACACCGAUUGCGUAGGCAGCUCACUAAACUGUAACUGACGCUGAGGCACGAAAGCGUGGGGAGCAAACAGGAUUAGAUACCCUGGUAGUCCACGCCCUAAACGAUGAUCACUCGAUGUGUGCGAUACACUGUACGCGUCCAAGCGAAAGCAUUAAGUGAUCCACCUGGGGAUACGGCCGCAAGGCUG